RNAcentral lists this ribosomal RNA (260 nucleotides) under uncultured bacterium. RNAcentral describes it as "partial 16S ribosomal RNA". It matches the Rfam family "Bacterial small subunit ribosomal RNA", at positions 15 to 264 of the family's 1533-position model. The record is from RNAcentral.
GAUCCUGGCUCAGGACGAACGCUGGCGGCGCGCCUAACACAUGCAAGUCGAACGGAGCUUAGAGAGCUUGCUUUUUUAAGCUUAGUGGCGAACGGGUGAGUAACGCGUGAGUAACCUGCCCUAGAGUGGGGGACAACAGUUGGAAACGACUGCUAAUACCGCAUAAGCCCACGGUACCGCAUGGUACUGAGGGAAAAGGAUUUAUUCGCUUUAGGUAGUGGACUCGCGUCCAAUUAAGCUAGUUGGUUGAGGUAAACGGG